RNAcentral lists this non-coding RNA (19 nucleotides) under Arabidopsis thaliana (thale cress). Lineage: Eukaryota; Viridiplantae; Streptophyta; Magnoliopsida; Brassicales; Brassicaceae. The record is from RNAcentral.
GGGAGGGGUUUGAUGUUCC